CCUACGGGCGGCAGCAGUGGGGAAUAUUGGGCAAUGGGCGCAAGCCUGACCCAGCAAAGCCGCGUGAAGGAAGACGGCUCUCGGGUUUUAAACUUCUUUUUUCAGGGGCGCAGCAAGCGACGGUCCCUGCGGAAUAAGCCACGGCUAACUACGAGCAAGCAGUCGCGGGAAUAAGGAGGGGGCAAGCGUUAUCCGGAUUCACUGGGUGUAAAGGGCGUGUAGGCGGGAAAGCAAGGCAGAUGUGAAAACGAUGGGUGCAAACUGUGGCCUGCAUUUGAAACUGUUGUUCUUGAGUACUGGAGAGGCAGGCGGAAUUCGUGGUGUAGCGGUGAAAUGCGUAGAUAUCAGGCAGAACACCGGUUGCGAAGGCAGUGUACUGGAGCACAACUGACGCUGAUGCGCGAAAGCGUGGGGAGCAAACAGGAUUAGAUACCCUAGUAGUC
This 443-nucleotide ribosomal RNA is filed under the name uncultured bacterium. Its description in RNAcentral is "partial 16S ribosomal RNA". It matches the Rfam family "Bacterial small subunit ribosomal RNA", at positions 338 to 795 of the family's 1533-position model. The record is from RNAcentral.